AUUGAACGCUGGCGGCAUGCUUUACACAUGCAAGUCGAACGGUAGACCCUUUCGGGGGUUGAGAGUGGCGAACGGGUGAGUAAUGCAUCGGAACGUACCGUGUCGUGGGGGAUAACGUAGCGAAAGUUACGCUAAUACCGCAUACGCACUGAGGUGGAAAGAUUUAUCGCUGUUUGAGGGUCCUGCGUUCGAUUAGCUAGUUGGUGAGGUAACGGCCCACCAAGGCGACGAUCGAUAGCUGGUCUGAGAGGAUGAUCAGCCACACUGGGACUGAGACACGGCCCAGACUCCUACGGGAGGCAGCAGUGGGGAAUAUUGGACAAUGGGGGAAACCCUGAUCCAGCAAUGCCGCGUGCGUGAAGAAGGCCUUAGGGUUGUAAAGCGCUUUCACCUGUGAUGAUGAUGACAGUAGCAGGAGAAGAAGCCCCGGCUAACUCCGUGCCAGCAGCCGCGGUAAA
Molecule: ribosomal RNA, 458 nt
Filed under: uncultured bacterium
Lineage: Bacteria
Description: bacterial SSU rRNA
Rfam family: Bacterial small subunit ribosomal RNA
Source: RNAcentral